This is a long non-coding RNA of Mus musculus (house mouse), 333 nucleotides long. RefSeq annotates it as predicted gene, 39058. The record is from RefSeq and is a predicted model, not a curated record. NCBI's taxonomy places the organism in Eukaryota, Metazoa, Chordata, Mammalia, Rodentia, Muridae. The transcript has 2 exons.
CCGCCUCUUCCGGGAAAGGGCGGAAGGAGCGGACCAAUGGAGACCGGAUCCUAGGGAAGGCACCUUGGAUCGUUCUGAGAGACUGUGUACACACCCUCAGGUGACUCCAGGCCACCUGAGAGUGACGGAGGAGGCGGGUAGCCAUUAUGCCUUUUCAUCAGCAAGAGCUCUGACUGGACCCAUGUCUGAAGUGUUACCGCAUGGGUUGCCAAGAUUUCUCUGUGUAGCCCUGGCUAUCCUGGAACUUGAUCUAUAGACUAGGCUGAACUCAGUCUCCAAGAUCUUCCUUCCACUGUCUACCAAGUGCUGGGAUUAAAGGCAUGUGCCACCACA